This 2303-nucleotide long non-coding RNA is filed under the name Cricetulus griseus (Chinese hamster). Its description in RNAcentral is "lncRNA (ENSCGRG00015040943.1)". Lineage: Eukaryota; Metazoa; Chordata; Mammalia; Rodentia; Cricetidae. The record is from RNAcentral.
CAAAUAGGAACCAAUAAGGAGAGUGUUUUCAUUUCCAGCACUGGAGGCAACUCCUGUGUUCCCUUGGAGAUCUGAAUCAGAGCCGGUGAUUCAUUUCCCAUCCCACCUUGAACUGUGCUGAAGGAGAAGCAUUGAAAUCGAAAGUAGAUGAAAGAAGAAAAUUGCAAAUUACCCAGGUUUUUGAGGCCAAUUUUCAAAAGGAAAGCAAACAACCUGUGACAUGCAAGGGUUUAUCAUAUAAUUGCUGCUUCAGCAAGCAUCAAUGCUAUCUACGUGGAAGCUGUGUUUCUCCCUGGAGACUAAUAUGUAUUGAUCAAGCAAGACCCACUGAAGCAGUGGCCCAACUGAUGCUACAUCCAAAUCAGCUGAGAUGAUGCAGCCAUAGACAACUACAGACAGGAUUUCUGCGUUUAAUCAUGAUCCCCAUGAAAAGAGAAGAUGAGGAGAAAUCUUUCUCUGUAUGUUUAUCUUAUUGGUUGUUGAAAAAAGCACUGUUGGCCAAUAAGGGGGCAAGUUAGGUGGGACUAGGAGUAGAAGAGGAUUCUGGAAAAUAUAGUAAAGUCUUGUCAUUCAGCCAGGAAGUAAUAUAGCAGGCAGACUUAGAAUAUAAUCAGGGUCAAACAGGAAAUAUCUCUCUCUUCCUGUUCCUCCUGCUCUGUUCUCUGUGCAUCUGCAAUGUGAGCCCGGGAAGACAGGAUGCCUGCCACUGGCAUCCCCAAUAAGAUGACAGUAGCAGUCUGCCUUGUCUGGGUCAGUGUACUGUCUGGCUCUGAUCAUACCCAGAAUCGACUGAGACCUGGAGUAUAGCCAGAGACUGACUGGUGAGAAGUUGCACUGUUGAAGCUUUUAUUAUUACUCCUUGCCUCUGAUUAAAGGACUAUGUGAUCAAGUUGAGCAUGGAAUAAGAACAAAAAAAGCAGAGUGAUCUCAAUUCCAGCAACGGUAGCAAAUCCAGUCAUUCUCUUAGAGCUCUCCAUCACAAGUGUUGAUUCACUAUUCUCCCCCACCUGGAUAUGUGUGCACCAGAUACAGAGAAAUUGAAAUUGGAUGAGAGCAGAAAAAAUGCAACUUACCUUUUCUCUGACUCCGAAUUUCAAAAGAAAAAAAAAACAGGUAGCAAGUACUAGAUGAUUAUAUAUCUGGCUGCUUGGACUUACAUCCCAACUAUAUAUGUGAAAGCCUCCAUUUCUGUCUGAACGAAGCUGGUUUUGAUCCUGGGCUGCCCAUAGCUGCUUGCUGAUAACAUUUUUGAUAUGCUGUGUCAGAAUCCCCAAUUACGAUGAUAAAUGCUGAAUUUAAAUGGUUUUUCAUGUCUUUCUUUGGACAUAGAUGAAAUUUCCUCACUCAGAAGUGGAUAUUAGACAUAAAGCAAAGGAUACCCUACCUACAGUAAAUAAUCCUAGUGAAACUAGGUAACAAAGAUGAUGGUAAGAGAAAUAUACAUGUAUCUCCCUGGCAAUGGGACAUAGACAAGAAAUCCACAAUGAUUUAGUGAUAAUGAAGUGGACAAGGAAGGAUGGAAGUAGAGAGAAGCAGUGAGGAGGGGAGUGUUAGGAGAACAUGAGAGAAUGGGAUGGUCCAGAUGGAAGAAUAAGAGAUGAGACCAAGGAAUGAGAUAUCUUGACAGAGGGAGAUAUUAUGGGGUUAGGGAGGCACCAAGAAAUUUCCCUGUGAUCUACAAAAAAGACACACACCCUCCCCCGCUAAAAUUCUAAGCAACACAUUAGAGUGUUCCUGAACUGUCCUUCAACUAUAAUCAUACUGACAGCAACCUUAAUUGUCAUCAUGGAAACUUCAUCCAGUAAAUGAUAUAAGCAGAUGCAGCUAUAUACAACUAAAUACUUGGUCAAGCUUCAGGUGUCAAUUUGAAAAGAUCAAGUUACAAUAAUAUAAACAAAGGGGUCAGUCCCAUAAUGGGAAACUUAAAGAAACUGCCAACAAGAUCUAGCAUACUUCUUAGUGAGUUGAUGUCACAAAGCCACUUAUAAAUAGUUUAUGCUAUUCUUGGGAAACAAUUCAACCUUACUUCGUGACAGCUGAGAAUGUAUGCUGAAAUUGUAAACUUGGCCAAGGACCAUGGAUGCAGAAAUGAUGAACUCUGGACUACUAGGUACCUCUACCAAUUUUCAGUAACAGUAUACUUCCAUGACUAUAUGCAAAAUAUGACAGGGAGCUACAAUCAUGGUAAUAUUCUGGGAUAUUGAAUUAAUGUGGAAGUAACCAAGAAAAUUUUAUUUCUUUUAAGGGUCAGUUCAUGAGAUGGAAGCUAUACAUAAAACUGCUAAAGUAGCCAACCACCUGAG